This 75-nucleotide transfer RNA is filed under the name Caulobacterales bacterium 32-69-10. Its description in RNAcentral is "tRNA-Val". It matches the Rfam family "tRNA". From Rfam's summary of the family: Transfer RNA (tRNA) molecules are approximately 80 nucleotides in length. Their secondary structure includes four short double-helical elements and three loops (D, anti-codon, and T loops). Further hydrogen bonds mediate the characteristic L-shaped molecular structure. tRNAs have two regions of fundamental functional importance: the anti-codon, which is responsible for specific mRNA codon recognition, and the 3' end, to which the tRNAs corresponding amino acid is attached (by aminoacyl-tRNA synthetases). tRNAs cope with the degeneracy of the genetic code in two manners: having more than one tRNA (with a specific anti-codon) for a particular amino acid; and 'wobble' base-pairing, i.e. permitting non-standard base-pairing at the 3rd anti-codon position. RNAcentral also lists the same sequence under 2 other names. Lineage: Bacteria; Pseudomonadati; Pseudomonadota; Alphaproteobacteria; Caulobacterales. The record is from RNAcentral.
GGACGCGUAGCUCAGCGGGAGAGCACUCCCUUCACACGGGAGGGGUCGUAGGUUCAAUCCCUACCGCGUCCACCA